UUCAUUCCCAUCUAAAUAAAGACUUUGCUGUUCUUUUAGAGAUGGGGUCUUGACUCCUGUGCUGCACUGCCAUUGUCCAUGACCAUAGCUGUAAUCACUUGUGCUGGUUCCAAUGCACCUGUGUGAGAAGUAAGGCCUAUGAUUGUAAUGGAUUGCUAACUGAUGGUUGGCUUGUGAUCCCCAAAGGAACUGAGUACCUAGUAAUCAACUGUAAGGAUAUACUGUAAAUGGCUAUCUCAGAUUGUGUACCCUGGAAAGCAGAGCCUGA
RNAcentral lists this long non-coding RNA (268 nucleotides) under Chinchilla lanigera (long-tailed chinchilla). Its description in RNAcentral is "lncRNA (ENSCLAG00000025828.1)". The record is from RNAcentral. Lineage: Eukaryota; Metazoa; Chordata; Mammalia; Rodentia; Chinchillidae.